Molecule: non-coding RNA, 89 nt
Organism: Canis lupus familiaris (dog)
Lineage: Eukaryota; Metazoa; Chordata; Mammalia; Carnivora; Canidae
Source: Rfam
GGGGGGAGGCCGGAUCCUGGGGUGUGUCCCGGCGCCCUGUGCUCCGGGAACUGCGCUGUUGGAUUCGCGCUCCCGCCCCGCAGCCCCCU